RNAcentral lists this ribosomal RNA (465 nucleotides) under Cyanoptila cyanomelana. RNAcentral describes it as "partial 16S ribosomal RNA". It matches the Rfam family "Bacterial large subunit ribosomal RNA", at positions 1970 to 2594 of the family's 2925-position model. The record is from RNAcentral. Lineage: Eukaryota; Metazoa; Chordata; Aves; Passeriformes; Muscicapidae.
UGUCCCAUAAAUCGAGACUAGUAUGAAUGGCUAAACGAGGUCUUAACUGUCUCUUGCAGGCAAUCGGUGAAAUUGAUCUCCCUGUGCAAAAGCAGGGAUAAACACAUAAGACGAGAAGACCCUGUGGAACUUCAAAAUCAGCAGCCACCCCAAAAAUGACAUAAACACCCACCGGGUUCACUCCCAUAUAAGCUUCUGGCCUGCAUUUUUCGGUUGGGGCGACCUUGGAGAAAAACAAAUCCUCCAAAAAUUAGACCUUCCCUCUAGACUAAGAGCAACCCCUCAACGUGCUAACAGCACCCAGACCCAAUAUAAUUGAUCAAUGGACCAAGCUACCCCAGGGAUAACAGCGCAAUCUCCUUCGAGAGUCCAUAUCGACAAGGAGGUUUACGACCUCGAUGUUGGAUCAGGACAUCCUAGUGGUGCAGCCGCUACUAAGGGUUCGUUUGUUCAACGAUUAACAGU